GGGUCUCACCACAUUGCCCAGGCUGGACUCAAAUUCCUCAAAUGAUCCUUCCAUCUUAGCCUCCCAAAUAGCUGGGACUACAGGUAUGAGCCACUGUACCCAAGGGUUUUUCUUUCAAUAUGUAUGUGACCAGCUGACUUACCACCUUCACAGUCUUAUAUCACUGUAUUCAUUUAUCAGGAUUAUUACAUAUAGAGGGUAAAAGACAUAGGCCUAUAUAUUUACUGAGAUGUUACAAUAAUUUCAAAGCACAGUGUCACCCUGGAAAAGUCACAUGGCAAGUUGAAUGAUUUUCAAAAGCCCCAGGCCCCCAACACUUUACCUUAACCUCCUUGGAGCUACUGGAAGUCUUCCCUUCGGUCUUCUUCUGCUUUGAUGUGGAGGAACUGUUUUUGCUGCUGCCACUCGUCUCCUUGUUGCUGUUACUGCUUGACUUUAAGGAAGAAGACUGACUAAUAGUCCUCUUCCGAGAGCCAUGCUCUGUUUUUGGAUCUUUUGAAGGAACAGGCCCAGCGGGAGAAGGCAACAAAUCCUUUUCUUUUGCAGCACUCUGCUUAGAUGACCUGCCAAACCAAACGAAUGCCUUCAUUUCUCCACACAGUAAUACAGGGGAGAGAACAUUCGUUGCCGAAAAAAGCUAUCUUCUUCCUCCACUGAGGAGGGUUUAACAGGAGUCCUAUUGCUCUCGGGGUACUUAGGAGUUUGUGAGGAAGGAGGAAGGCUCUCACUUUCAUCUGAAUCUGAGGAUGAGGUAUCUGUUUCUAUGAUUUCCCUUGAUUUCUGGGAAGAUUUACUUGUUGACUUAUAUUUCUUUUUCUCUGCUGUAGGUCGAGGGGAAGACUUAGACUCCUUCUUUAUAUUGGGUUUCCUUGAGCCUUUGGUGGCUGCUUUGUGUCUGCUGGAGGGCAUGCUGCUAGCCAAGUCUACAGGGGUUUCACUUUCUAUCUUCAGGCCUCCACGAGGCUCUUCAGCAGCUGCCUUCUCAGCCUUUUUGGGUUGUUUUUUGCCUACAGUUCUUCUCUGUGUUGUGCUGUCACUCUGUGCAGGAGAUUUCUGCCUCCCACGCCCACUUUCUGAUCCCUUUUGGAUGGUUUUGGAGUCUCGUCCCGGAGUAGCGGAACUCGUUUCUUUAGGUCCACUUGUAUCAGUGUAGCUAUUCCCAGUGCCCUGCUCUCGGCCUUCCUUUUUGUAGCCUUGAGAUGAUGGGAUGUUACUGUCCACUGAAGAGGCGGGUGACACUUUAUGUGGGUUCACUUUAUUCAGCCAAUUAUCAAGUUGCCAUUUGUUUGUUGGCGGGGGUUCAGGCUGAAAAACAGAGAAAUAUGUAUGCUUUUUUCGAUACUGAAUGCUUUUUUCGUUCUCCCUCCUUUACAACCUCAAAGAAGAGGAAAAACCACAAUGCCUAAUGCAACAAAAGCAAAUGGUUCUCUAUGAACCAAAGCAAAGGGCUGAGUAUUGACUAUUAGCUCUUAUCAUCUGAAUAAGAAGAUAAGUGGCCAGGCACGGUGGCUCACACCUGUAAUCCCAGCACUUUGGGAGGCUGAGGUGGGCGGAUCAUGAGAUCAGGAGUUUGAGACCAG
RNAcentral lists this long non-coding RNA (1580 nucleotides) under Homo sapiens (human). Its description in RNAcentral is "long non-coding RNA NONHSAT103789.2". The record is from RNAcentral. Lineage: Eukaryota; Metazoa; Chordata; Mammalia; Primates; Hominidae.